Dreissena polymorpha is the source of this 2432-nucleotide long non-coding RNA. RefSeq lists it as uncharacterized. The transcript is spliced from 6 exons. The record is from RefSeq and is a predicted model, not a curated record. Lineage: Eukaryota; Metazoa; Mollusca; Bivalvia; Myida; Dreissenidae.
CACAAUUUUUAGGAAUGUCGGGAUGCAUUCACGAUUAUUAUGGUCGAUAGAAAAUGGACGUUACAGACAAUAUACAACGACGACCCAUGUCGACUGUUCUACUAAAAAUGUAUCCUUAAGUCUUAUAAAAGUACUAAAUACUCAAUAAAUGUAGUGAGAGAACAAUAUUAUUAAUGAAUCCACGUUAUAGGUCACAUAACCCCAAACCGGAACUCCUGUUUUUAGGGUUACAUGUCAGUUUGAUACUUAGCACACAUUGUUGAGUGCAUGCUGCCUAGGAUUUGUAAAAUACAUUGCAAAUGGCUAGUUUUGGUAUCAACUUGAAGGUAUAUUUGUAAGCAAUAAGAAAAUAAGCCAUUUUUGUGCUCUACAUUUUGUGUUGAUGGUUCCCGGCUUUGAAAGUAGGUCAUACUAUUUGAGCCCAAAAUGGUUGUCUGCACAGCUGUCAAAACCGGUUUGCCUAUUCUAAGGUAAAUAUUUUGAGUUAGCACAGAUAUAAUUUAAUGACAUGCAUUUUUUCAAAAGAUUAUGCAUUUAUCUUUCCAAUGAUGUAUGAUGAUAUAGUGGGUAUGCGCUUGAUCAUGGUAAAAAUUGAUAUCGAACUUCAACCACUUUAUAUGUAAUAUAGAAGGAAAUUAAUUGCGCAUGCGUUACCUUUAAGCACAUCCGACCAAGUUAGUCGUCUGCCAGAAUGUUGACAAUUGACCAUCAAAAACUCUCUGUAUUGCAAAACAUAACUGCCAGAUGUAAUUUGACCCAAAUUAGGGCUGUUUGCAAUUGGGCUGUUGCACUUGGGGUCAUAAGGGGGGUAAAUGCUGGAAAAUCACACCGAAACCUGUUCCGGAGAAAUAUUCUAAAUCUGCUUAAACACUCUGUAUUGUUUUUCAGUGACAUUUUGACAUUAAUUUGCAUCAAUCUCAAUAAUGAACUUAAUGCAUGUCUCUACUUCAUCUGUAUUUAUUAUUAUUGUUUACUUUUUGAGCCUUUUACUGUUAAAAAUGCCUGCCAAGUUUGGACCGACACUGCUAUCUGCCUUCGCCUUCAACCCCGUCAGGCAGAUUCUACUCAGAAUAACACUACUUUGCCUUAUUUUUCCUGUUUGGAUAUCUUGCAGAGUUUAAGUAAAAUCAAGUAUUCAUCUGAAAACACAAAAAUGAUAAUAAUAUUAUGCUUUCUUUCCUGGAAGAAUGUUGUUGUGAUAGACCCUGUGUGAAAAACACCAGGGAAUCUGUAUUUUAGUGACCUCAAUAUUAUGCGUAAACCUAAGUGUGCAUUUGUAGGCGGUGUCGAAAUGGGUCUUUAGCUCUGCCUGAACUGUCGUCAAAUUGGUUUACAAGUCCGGCUGAAGUGACAGGCCAUCAUAAACUGUACAGCAUGACUGAUUCGGAGACGGCCCUCAACACUCGCCCAGUCGUGUCGAGAGGAUCGGUGUCUUUGCAGAUUACACGGAAUCGAGCACCCGGGCCAGACUGACACUUCCGGAGCCUGUCCGAGACGGAACUCGAGCCAAGGAAUCAUAGGUCCAGGCGGUGUCGAAAUGGGUCUUUAGCUCUGCCUGAACUGUCGUCAAAUUGGUUUACAAGUCCGGCUGAAGUGACAGGCCAUCAUAAACUGUACAGCAUGACUGAUUCGGAGACGGCCCUCAACACUCGCCCAGUCGUGUCGAGAGGAUCGGUGUCUUUGCAGAUUACACGGAAUCGAGCACCCGGGCCAGACUGACACUUCCGGAGCCUGUCCGAGACGGAACUCGAGCCAAGGAAUCAUAGGUCCAGGCGGUGUCGAAAUGGGUCUUUAGCUCUGCCUGAACUGUCGUCAAAUUGGUUUACAAGUCCGGCUGAAGUGACAGGCCAUCAUAAACUGUACAGCAUGACUGAUUCGGAGACGGCCCUCAACACUCGCCCAGUCGUGUCGAGAGGAUCGGUGUCUUUGCAGAUUACACGGAAUUGAGCACCCGGGCCAGACUGACACUUCCGGAGCCUGUCCGAGACGGAACUCGAGCCGAGGAAUCAUAGGUCCAGGUGUGACAAAAGACUUAAAGCGCAUGUCUGACGAUGAUUUUUUUUAGUCAGGAAGUCAAGAUGUUGUUUUUUCAUGCAAGCAAGCCCUUUUGUUGGGUCAAAUGACAUUGGAAAUGCUGCUUCUACAUGGAUUUAACCUAAAAUGUGCCAAUUUAAAAAAAAAGUUUGUUCGAAUCCGGUUCAAAACCUGCUUUGAUGCACACAUAUUGCCAUUGAUGAUUUUUUCACUUAUUAAGUCAUAUGUUACAUCAGCUUUGCCUUUUAGAAUCGAAAGUGAUGCCUUGUAUGGAGUCUAAGUGCUGCAUGUAUGAUAUAACCAAGUUUGGCUUUUCUACCUUAAUUCUUGACGCGAAACGCUGUUACGCAUGGCGCUUUCAACGGCAACUUUUAUGAAUAAAUCUGUGUGUCAUUGUA